Long non-coding RNA from Sceloporus undulatus (fence lizard), 263 nucleotides. RefSeq lists it as uncharacterized. The transcript has 3 exons. The record is from RefSeq and is a predicted model, not a curated record. Lineage: Eukaryota; Metazoa; Chordata; Lepidosauria; Squamata; Phrynosomatidae.
UAUUAUUAUUAUUAUUAUUAUUAUUAAAUGAAUACAUAUCUUCCUUUCCAGUUAAUUGUUCAAACAGCGGCUGUGUAUUUUGUUAUGAAAUACAGUCAUUUAGAGGAGCAAACAAGGUUUUCUUUUACGAUAGAAAGAGUCGAGGCCCAGCAUAAGAAUAAAGAUACAAAAACAUCCUUCCUUCCAAAACUGUUGUAGGACAGAGUGCCUCCGAAAUGCCCUGGACACAAAGGUUCCUCAUCUGCCACCAACGGAGGUAAGAG